This 432-nucleotide ribosomal RNA is filed under the name uncultured bacterium. RNAcentral's name for it is "bacterial SSU rRNA". It matches the Rfam family "Bacterial small subunit ribosomal RNA", at positions 43 to 521 of the family's 1533-position model. The record is from RNAcentral.
CAGGCCUAACACAUGCAAGUCGAGCGGGCCCUUCGGGGUCAGCGGCGGACGGGUGAGUAACGCGUGGGAACGUGCCUUCUGGUCUGGAAUAACCCUGGGAAACUAGGGCUAAUACCGGAUACGCCCUUAUGGGGAAAGGUUUACUGCCGGAAGAUCGGCCCGCGUCUGAUUAGCUAGUUGGUGGGGUAACGGCCUACCAAGGCGACGAUCAGUAGCUGGUCUGAGAGGAUGAUCAGCCACACUGGGACUGAGACACGGCCCAGACUCCUACGGGAGGCAGCAGUGGGGAAUAUUGGACAAUGGGCGCAAGCCUGAUCCAGCCAUGCCGCGUGAGUGAUGAAGGCCUUAGGGUUGUAAAGCUCUUUUAUCCGGGACGAUAAUGACGGUAUCGGAGGAAUAAGCCCCGGCUAUCUUGGUGCCAGCAGCCGCGGU